This 234-nucleotide ribosomal RNA is filed under the name uncultured bacterium. RNAcentral's name for it is "partial 16S ribosomal RNA". It matches the Rfam family "Bacterial small subunit ribosomal RNA", at positions 15 to 240 of the family's 1533-position model. The record is from RNAcentral.
GAUCAUGGCUCAGGAUGAACGCUAGCUACAGGCUUAACACAUGCAAGUCGAGGGGCAGCAUGGUCUUAGCUUGCUAAGGCCGAUGGCGACCGGCGCACGGGUGAGUAACGCGUAUCCAACCUGCCUUACACUCUUGGACAGCCCUCUGAAAGGGAGAUUAAUACAAGAUGUUAUCAUGAGUAAGCAUUUUCGCACGAUUAAAGGUUUACCGGUGUAAGAUGGGGAUGCGUUCCA